Molecule: long non-coding RNA, 3036 nt
Organism: Stomoxys calcitrans (stable fly)
Lineage: Eukaryota; Metazoa; Arthropoda; Insecta; Diptera; Muscidae
Exons: 2
Source: RefSeq, a predicted model, not a curated record
UUUAUGCCCUUUAUUGGAGUGCAAAAUAUAAACAAGAAGGGAAUCCGAAUCGUUUUCGAUGCCGCCGCUGAAGUUCAGAAUGUGUCUUUGAACAAAUGUCUCUUAAGCGGGCCGGACAUAAAUAAUACGUUAAUUUCAACUAUUUUUAAAUUUUGGGAAGCUCCAGUUGCCGUUUGUGGAGAUAUUAAAGAAAUGUUCCAUCAGAUCAAAAUCGAAAAAAAGAAGACCAGGACUGUCAGCGAUUCUUGUGGAGAAAUGGGGACAAAAAAUAUAAAAGUGGAAGUGUACGUUAUGCAAAGGAUGAUAUUUGGAGCUACAUGUUCGCCAACAAUUGGCAAGUUUAUUAAAAACUUAAAUGCCCAAAGUUUUUUGGAAGAAGCCCCUCGAGCAGUCCAUGGUAUAAUCGACCGUCACUACGUCGACGAUUACGUCGAUAGUUUUGACACUGAGGACGAAGCUGUAAGUGUUGUAAAAGAUGUUAUCAAGAUUCAUGGUGCUGGUGGAUUUGAGCUAAGAAAUAUCAUUUCCAAUUCGGAACGGGUGGUGAGAUCUUGUGGACAAUCGGCCAGCGGAGGAAACAACGGUUUUUAUAUAAAGAUAAUAUAGAAAGAAUUUUGGGAAUACAUUGGUUACCAAGUCCAAAUGUUUUUUGUUUUCGUAUCAAUUUCCAUAAAGUGGAGAAAUCUAUUUUAGAAUUUACCAAGGUUCCCACCAAACGUGAAAUGCUUUCACUAAACAUGUCAAUUUAUGACCCAUUUGGAUUCUUAUGCGAAUUUAUGAUUACAUCAAAAAUUUUAAUGCAACGAGUAUGGAAGGCAGGUAUCGGUUGGGACGAAGAGUUGCCUAUUGAAAUUUAUAGAGAUUGGAAGCUAUGGUUGAUAGAAUUUGAAAAUUUAAAGUAAUUCCAGAUUCCACGUUUUUAUUGCCAAAAUUUUGUCAACACCAUGGUUGAUUUGCAUAUUUUCACUGAUGCUAGCGAAGAGGCGAUGGCGACAGUAGCGUAUUGGCGUGUGGUAAGUGUGGUCGGAAUUAAAGUCGUAUUUGUAAUGAGCAAAUCCGCGUGUGCUUCUACCAGAUAUCAUACUAUACCCAAAUAGGAACUGCAGGCAGCAGUAAUGGGUGCUCGUAUGAAGGAUUUGAUAAUUGCUAACCAUAAUAAAAAAGUUAAUAAAAUUAAUUUCGCACAGAUUCCCGUACUGUUAUUCGCUGGAUUCGUUCUGAUCACCGGAAGUAUAAACAAUAUGUGGCCAACAGGGUGGCCGAGAUUCUAGACAGCAGCGAAAUGGAUAAUGAUGCAACAAGGGCAAAAUUUCCCAUUAAGUAUGAAGCGGACUGACGGUGGACAAAUGGACCUUGAAGUUGCAAAUGGAAAGCUGCCUGGAUGCUAGCAAAACAGAACUACGAUCUAAAUGUCAUAAAUGUGGCUCGUCAGGUUUGCAAAUUACGUCCUGAUAUUAACAGAUUUUCCAAAUAUUCCAGAUUAAAACACACUAUGGCUUGGGUUUAUCGAUAUGUCAAAAAAGCUGAGCGUGAAAGAAGAAGCAUUGGCCGAAACGCACUUAUGUCGACAAAUACAACGCGAAGUUUUUUCGGAUGACAUUGUGAAUAUUGAACGGCAAGGACAUGUGAGCCAAGACAGCAAAUUGAAGACGUUAAAUCCAAUGAUCAGUGAGGACGGAUUAUUAAAAGUCUCUGGACGUAUUCAGAAUGCACCGUGCCUUCCAAUUCAAGCCAAAAAUCCCAUCGUUCUUCCAAGUCAACAUGCUUUCACUCGUCUACUAGUGGAGUCGUACCAUGCUAGACUUUGCCACAUAAAUUUGUCAACCGUAAUAAGCGAAGUGCGCUUGAAGUUCUGGGUUCCAUCGUUACGCCGAUUGCUGAAUAGUAUUCAGUCACGAUGUCAAAUCAGUCGCAUACGGAGAGCAAGACCUUGCCAACCUCAAAUGGGUCCAUUGCCGAUAGAUCGUGUUACACCAUAUGUUCGUGCUUUCACUUACACUAGUUUGGAUUAUUUUGGGCCGGUAAGCGUUACUAUCCGUCGCCAGCGAGAGAAGAGGUGGGUGGCCUUGUUCACUUGCUUAACCGUUCGUGCUACCCAUCUGGAGAUAGCCAAUGAUCUUUCCAGUGAUGCUUGUCUGUUAUGCAUUAGGAACUUCAUAAACCGACGUGGUGUGCCGCUUGUAAUUCGCAGUGAUAACGGCACUAAUUUUGUUGGUAUCCAGAAAGAGUUGCAGGGUGAGAAAAACGUUAUUGAUAAUGAUAAGAUGACUUCUCUUACAGUAUUAGGUAUCCAAUGGAAGUUCAACACACCAGCGAACCCAAGUGAGGGUGGUGCAUAGGAGAGGCUCGUGCAAUUGGUCAAAAAGGUCCUUCAUAUGAUGCUGCGCGAACAUAUACCCAGACUUGGAAACCCUGCAAAGUUUUUUAAUUGAAGCCGAGAAUAUAGUUAAUUCCAGACCACUGACGCAUUUGGCUGUUACACCAGAAGAUCCCGACCCAUUGACGCCAAAUCACUUUUUAUUGGGCUGUGCAAAUUCAACCCAAACACCAGUGCCAUAUGAACCUCGUCUAAUGUGUCUUCGUAAGCAAUGGCGUAUUGUGCAAAAUUUGAAGAAUGAUGUGGAUGCAGAAGAUUUGAAUGGUGAAGCCUCCCCAUCCGGGUCAUUUCACGGGCGAGGAUGUCGAUGAUGGUCACUCUAAAGUGGGCGGUAAAGAUGGUCACCCCUAAAGUGGGCGGAGAAGAUGGUCACCCCUAAAGUGGGCAACGCAAAAGGGGCUGGAUGUGGUAUGAACCACAUUCAUUGAACACUAAUUAUUAUUGCAGUCUGAUCAUAGACAGUAAAAUUGAUAAUUUAUUUGUGAAUUUAGCGCCAUUUGUGAUAGUAUAAAUGCCCUUCAGGCCUUGAUUCUUUCCUUUUUUGCUUGGACAACUUAACUAAACACGUAAGGUUAUCCUUUAUAACUUAAAUUAAAUUUUUAUAAAUUUUUUCCUUUAUUUUAUUAGCGAAUAAACAUUACACAAACAUUUGUCAUCAA